This 253-nucleotide ribosomal RNA is filed under the name uncultured bacterium. Its description in RNAcentral is "partial 16S ribosomal RNA". It matches the Rfam family "Bacterial small subunit ribosomal RNA", at positions 524 to 776 of the family's 1533-position model. The record is from RNAcentral.
UACGUAGGGGGCAAGCGUUGUUCGGAAUUACUGGGCGUAAAGGGCGCGUAGGCGGCCUGGCAAGUCAGGUGUGAAAGGCCUGGGCUCAACCGAGGAACUGCUUUUGAUACUGCCAAGCUAGAGUGCGGAAGGGGCAACUGGAAUUCCCAGUGUAGCGGUGAAAUGCGUAGAUAUUGGGAAGAACACCUGAGGCGAAGGCGGGUUGCUGGGCCGACACUGACGCUGAGGCGCGAAAGCCAGGGGAGCAAACGGG